GGUCCCAGGAUGUUAGCGGCGGACGGGUGAGUAACACGUGGGUAACCUGCCUGUAAGACUGGGAUAACUCCGGGAAACCGGAGCUAAUACCGGAUAGUUCCUUGAACCGCAUGGUUCAAGGAUGAAAGACGGUUUCGGCUGUCACUUACAGAUGGACCCGCGGCGCAUUAGCUAGUUGGUGGGGUAAUGGCUCACCAAGGCGACGAUGCGUAGCCGACCUGAGAGGGUGAUCGGCCACACUGGGACUGAGACACGGCCCAGACUCCUACGGGAGGCAGCAGUAGGGAAUCUUCCGCAAUGGACGAAAGUCUGACGGAGCAACGCCGCGUGAGUGAUGAAGGUUUUCGGAUCGUAAAGCUCUGUUGUUAGGGAAGAACAAGUGCGAGAGUAACUGCUCGCACCUUGACGGUACCUAACCAGAAAGCCACGGCUAACUACGUGCCAGCAGCCGCGGUAAUACGUAGGUGGCAAGCGUUGUCCGGAAUUAUUGGGCGUAAAGGGCUCGCAGGCGGUUUCUUAAGUCUGAUGUGAAAGCCCCCGGCUCAACCGGGGAGGGUCAUUGGAAACUGGGAAACUUGAGUGCAGAAGAGGAGAGUGGAAUUCCACGUGUAGCGGUGAAAUGCGUAGAGAUGUGGAGGAACACCAGUGGCGAAGGCGACUCUCUGGUCUGUAACUGACGCUGAGGAGCGAAAGCGUGGGGAGCGAACAGGAUUAGAUACCCUGGUAGUCCACGCCGUAAACGAUGAGUGCUAAGUGUUAGGGGGUUUCCGCCCCUUAGUGCUGCAGCUAACGCAUUAAGCACUCCGCCUGGGGAGUACGGUCGCAAGACUGAAACUCAAAGGAAUUGACGGGGGCCCGCACAAGCGGUGGAGCAUGUGGUUUAAUUCGAAGCAACGCGAAGAACCUUACCAGGUCUUGACAUCCUCUGACAACCCUAGAGAUAGGGCUUUCCCUUCGGGGACAGAGUGACAGGUGGUGCAUGGUUGUCGUCACCUCGGGUCGUGAGAUGUUGGGUUAGUCCCGCAACGACGCAACCCUUGAUCUUAGUUGCCAGCAUUCAUUUGGGCAUCUAAGUGACUGCCGGUGACAACCGGAGGAAG
RNAcentral lists this ribosomal RNA (1100 nucleotides) under Bacillus pumilus. Its description in RNAcentral is "bacterial SSU rRNA". It matches the Rfam family "Bacterial small subunit ribosomal RNA", at positions 78 to 1172 of the family's 1533-position model. Lineage: Bacteria; Bacillati; Bacillota; Bacilli; Caryophanales; Bacillaceae. The record is from RNAcentral.